GCCAGACUCCUACGGGAGGCAGCAGUGGGGGAUAUUGCACAAUGGGGGGAACCCUGAUGCAGCGACGCCGCGUGGGUGAAGGAGCACCUCGGUGCGUAAAGCCCUAUCGGCAGGGAAGAAACAGACGGUACCUGACUAAGAAGCCCCGGCUAACUACGUGCCAGCAGCCGCGGUAAUACGUAGGGGGCAAGCGUUAUCCGGAUUUACUGGGUGUAAAGGGAGCGUAGACGGUGAUGCAAGUCAGAAGUGAAAGCCCGGGGCUCAACUCCGGGACUGCUUUUGAAACUGUGUGACUGGAGUGCAGGAGAGGUAAGCGGAAUUCCUGGUGUAGCGGUGAAAUGCGUAGAUAUCAGGAGGAACACCAGUGGCGAAGGCGGCUUACUGGACUGUAACUGACGUUGAGGCUCGAAAGCGUGGGGAGCAAACAGGAUUAGAUACCCGUGUAU
Molecule: ribosomal RNA, 446 nt
Filed under: uncultured bacterium
Lineage: Bacteria
Description: bacterial SSU rRNA
Rfam family: Bacterial small subunit ribosomal RNA
Source: RNAcentral